This 90-nucleotide transfer RNA is filed under the name uncultured organism. RNAcentral's name for it is "tRNA-Val". RNAcentral also lists the same sequence under 1 other name. The record is from RNAcentral.
CCGCGCGGUGGUCAGGGUCACCGCAUCGCCGGCGCUCACGGUCCCGGCGGUGAACGCGCCGAGAUCGGCGGUCACCUCCCCCGUGCGGGC